RNAcentral lists this ribosomal RNA (483 nucleotides) under uncultured bacterium. RNAcentral describes it as "partial 16S ribosomal RNA". It matches the Rfam family "Bacterial small subunit ribosomal RNA", at positions 30 to 507 of the family's 1533-position model. The record is from RNAcentral.
UUGAACGCUGGCGGCAGGCCUAACACAUGCAAGUCGAGCGGAUGAAGGGAGCUUGCUCCUGGAUUCAGCGGCGGACGGGUGAGUAAUGCCUAGGAAUCUGCCUGGUAGUGGGGGAUAACGUCCGGAAACGGGCGCUAAUACCGCAUACGUCCUGAGGGAGAAAGUGGGGGAUCUUCGGACCUCACGCUAUCAGAUGAGCCUAGGUCGGAUUAGCUAGUUGGUGGGGUAAAGGCCUACCAAGGCGACGAUCCGUAACUGGUCUGAGAGGAUGAUCAGUCACACUGGAACUGAGACACGGUCCAGACUCCUACGGGAGGCAGCAGUGGGGAAUAUUGGACAAUGGGCGAAAGCCUGAUCCAGCCAUGCCGCGUGUGUGAAGAAGGUCUUCGGAUUGUAAAGCACUUUAAGUUGGGAGGAAGGGCAGUAAGUUAAUACCUUGCUGUUUUGUCGUUACCAACAGAAUAAGCACCGGCUAACUUCGUG